ACAAUGGGCGCAAGUCUGAUGGAGCAACACCGCGUGAGUGAAGAAGGGUUUCGGCUCGUAAAGCUCUGUUGUUAAAGAAGAACACGUAUGAGAGUAACUGUUCAUACGUUGACGGUAUUUAACCAGAAAGUCACGGCUAACUACGUGCCAGCAGCCGCGGUAAUACGUAGGUGGCAAGCGUUAUCCGGAUUUAUUGGGCGUAAAGAGAGUGCAGGCGGUUUUCUAAGUCUGAUGUGAAAGCCUUCGGCUUAACCGGAGAAGUGCAUCGGAAACUGGAUAACUUGAGUGCAGAAGAGGGUAGUGGAACUCCAUGUGUAGCGGUGGAAUGCGUAGAUAUAUGGAAGAACACCAGUGGCGAAGGCGGCUACCUGGUCUGCAACUGACGCUGAGACUCGAAAGCAUGGGUAGCGAACAGGAUUAGAUACCCUGGUAG
Molecule: ribosomal RNA, 433 nt
Filed under: uncultured bacterium
Lineage: Bacteria
Description: bacterial SSU rRNA
Rfam family: Bacterial small subunit ribosomal RNA
Source: RNAcentral